CGCGGGCUGCCCGGCGCGAACGCCUGCGGGGAGGGCGGCCUCCUCGCCCGGCCCGGCCCUGCCCUGCCCCGGGGGCGGCGGCUCGGCGCAAGUCGGGCGGCCCUGGGGAGGCUGCGGGCGCGGCGUCUGGAGUUUUGAGGCAAAUCGAAGCGAGGGUCUUUCAGGCGAAGUGGCUAGACGUCCCAGCGGGGACAAUAGGUGUCAAGCGGCCGGCGGGGCGGGGCGGGGCGGGGCGGGGCGCCCCGGGGAAGGGCCGGCGGCCGGGGGUCCCUGGGGCGCGCGCGGGGCCGGGGCCAGAGGGCUGGCCUGUUAGGAGUCCUAAAGCUCCGGACUCGUGUGAAAACAGCCUUCAGCUACCUUGAGGAAGUGCUGUGAGGAUGUCUUAAGUAGGGCGUGUUGACAAUUGCCAGAUAGAUGGAAAAGGACCGCAAACUCCAGUCGCUGAUCUAGGAAGGAGCAGUGGCAUUCCAAGAUGGGAGAGAAAAUGUUGAGAGAAAUUUGCUGAGGAAAGAAUCCAAGCAGAGUGGUGACUGGAAGGAGAGUAGCAGAGGAGAUGAUCGCAGAGGAUAUCGCACAGGGUAGUCACACUCCAUUAAGACGCUGCUUCCAGAGGAGACUUUUCUCUAGGCCCUUCUUGUCUAGACCGCGUGCCUCUGGCAGUCCUGUCCUGCUGCAAGACCCGUGUUCCUUGGCUUUCUUUGGAGUCAGAGCUGGAGAUGCUGCUUCUCCUGAAUGCGGUGCUAACAUCUACCUAAAGAAGAAAGAGGCCAGUUCUUUAGGACGGGGCAAGUUGGUUUGACGAGAGAAAGAGAAGAGGUGAUCAUGUGACAAGAAAUAGAUGGUGUUUGAAGCCAAGAAGUGAGAAUUAGUGAGAUCUAUUGAGAUUAAAGCAAAGAGAAGAGAACCUAGGACAACAGCAACAUUUGAAGGAAAGUCUUACACCAGACAACUUUGAUGGAGGAAGAAGUGCACGACCACGACCACAGCGAGAGGGUGGGCCCCUGGAACCCGGAACGUCCUGCUUACUCCCACGGAGCUGGGCUCAGACUGUACGCAGGGCUCCUUAGAGGUCAUGCAGAUCGGGGAAAAUGGGCAACACUCAUUAAGUGUUUCGUGCCUAGAGUACCUGCUGCUGGACUCCUUUCAUCCCUGUGGAGCAGGCCCCUUCACCAGCUUCAUCUUACAGGUGAAAACAUCAAGGCUCAGGGAAGUUAAGCAACUUUUCCGAGAGCACCCAUCUAGUAAGUCCUCGAGCCGGGAUUCAAACUCUUGUCUCUUCAACCCUAGAGCUCACGCUCGUAACUAAUGGCGCAUACAACCGUUUUUACUCCACAACGCACGUCCAAACCUAACCAACACGUGAGAAACGCAGCCUGAGUCUCAGAAGCAAGAGCAUCAACAAAGAAGCUGCCUAAACAAGUGAAACCAAGCCUGCAGAACUGCAAGGCCACAUGUCUAACAGACGUGAUAAUGACUGUACACCCUCUCUAUUCCUUUCUUCACAAAGGGCUGACCCACCCAUGUGAAAACCUGCCGGGGACCUCAGCCUUCAGCUCUAGGAUUUGUUUCAGCAUUCCCCUUUCUGCCUGGUUAGGUCCCCGGGCCCUUGCUGUCAUCUUCUGAGUACGUUUUUCCUCCUUCUGAUUCCAUUUCUUAACUCCAGAUUCGGGCCCUCCACACUUCUCACUGUACCCAUUUCAACAUGCCCUUUGGGCUCUAGCCAGCAUUCCCUCUUGGAAAUGAUCUUAACACGACCUUGUGGGGCCACAGGGGAGAGGCUUGGCUUGGCUCCCUGCCUGGGCCUCAGGCUCUGCCACACAAGGAGACGCCCACUCUCAGGACAGCGGAAGAGGACACACAUUCACAUUCGUAUAAAGCUCAUUGUUUACAGAACAUUUGAAAAAUAUCCUGUGGUGUUUUUAGGAGAAGACAGAGCAGGUACUAUUUUCUCCAUUUUUUUUUAAAUGUCACAAACAUUUCAAGCAUACAAGAGAAAUACACAUAUAGAGACAUCCAUGAACACUGCCCAGACUUGACACAUUUACAUUUAUUUUUCCUUAAAGAAAUAAAAUGUUACAGAUAUGAUUGAAUAUCUUCCCAUCCCAUUUCCCCCCUCCUUCCCCAGAGAACCCACGAUCCUUAAAUUGAUCUGAAUCAUGGCAUCCAGGUUUUUAAAUUGUCUGUAUCUAUCUAUCUCUCUACCUGGAAUCUGCAAUGGAUACUAUUGUUCUGUGUUCCUAAAACUUUGACACAAUAUCUUACUAUAUGUAUCCUUUUGCAACUUGCUUUUUUUUUUCAAUUAGUCUUUUUUUUAAUUGAUUGAUUUUUUUUUUUCAGAUUCAGAUUUGUGUUUGUUUGUUUUCCCUUUGGAAUCCUAGUUGGGUUUUUUUGGCAGUAGCAUUGGUUUAUAACAUUAUAUAAAUUUCGGGUGUCCAUCAUUAUAUUUCAGUUUCUGUGUAGAUUGCAUCAUGUUCACCACCCAAAGACUAAUUACCAUCCAUCACCACACACAGGUGCCUAAUCACCCCUUUCGCCCUCCUGCCUCCCCGCUUCCCCUCUGGUAACCACCAGUCCAAUCCCUGUCUCUGGGUGUUUGCCUGCUGUUGUUUGCAACUUGCUUUUUCAGUGUUUUGUUUCUAAGAUUUAUCUUUGUUGAAACAUGUAUCUAAGUUCAUUUAUUUCACCUACUAGAGUGUCUCUUUUUGCUGUAUGCGUAUACACAUACAUAUGUUACUUAUCUAGUUUCCUACUGAAAGAAAUUUACAUAACUUUCUUUUUUGCACCGUUUUGAAAGAUACUGCAAUGACCAGUGUUGCACACUGUUCUUGUAGACAUGUGCUGGACUUUUUCUAGUGCAAAUUCCUGGAAGUAGAAUUGCUAGGUCAUAGGAUAUGUGCAGAACUACAAUUUUAGAAGACACUGCCAAUUGCUCUCCCAAGAGGUUGUACCAAUUUGCAUUUCCAUCAUCUGAGUUUGAGAAUUCCCAUUUCCUUUCAUCCUUGACAACUUUCUGCAUUGUCAGAUGUUUUGAUUUUUAUCAAUCUGUCCACUAAAAAAUAAUUUCACAUUGUUUUAUCAUGGGUAGAUUUUUAAAUUACUGAUUCAAUUUCUUUAUUGACUAUAAAGUCCACUGAAGUUUUCUAUUUCUUCUUGACUCAAUUUUGGUGAUUUAUAGUUUGCAAAAAAACCUGCUCAUUUCUUCCACAUUGCAAAUGUCUUGGCCUAAAGUUGAUUAUGAUAUUUUCUUACUAGUUUUAAAUUUAUUCUAAUUCUAUACCCCUUUUCCUUCCUGAUAUCAUUUAUGUCUUCUCUUUUUAUUUUAAUGGAUCCCGCUAGAGGAUUGUCUAGUAUAUUAAUCUUUUCAAAACACGAGUUUUGGUACUGUUGACCCUGUCUUCUUCCCUUAUUUUCUGUUGCGUUAAUUUCUGUACCUAUCCUUGGUCUUCUUUUUUCCCCUUUUUUGAGCACAAAUUCUUUGGUUCUUUUUGUACUUUCUUUAGUUGCAUGAUAAAUUAAUUUUCAAUCUUUUUUUCUAAUACAUGCAUUAAGGUCGUAAAUUUCUCUUCAAAAACUGCAUUAGCUGUACGACAG
RNAcentral lists this long non-coding RNA (3591 nucleotides) under Equus asinus (donkey). RNAcentral's name for it is "lncRNA (ENSEASG00005037639.1)". The record is from RNAcentral. Lineage: Eukaryota; Metazoa; Chordata; Mammalia; Perissodactyla; Equidae.